RNAcentral lists this ribosomal RNA (443 nucleotides) under uncultured bacterium. RNAcentral describes it as "SSU rRNA". It matches the Rfam family "Bacterial small subunit ribosomal RNA", at positions 26 to 518 of the family's 1533-position model. The record is from RNAcentral.
AGAACGAACGCUGGCGGCAGGCUUAACACAUGCAAGUCGAACGCCCCGCAAGGGGAGUGGCAGACGGGUGAGUAACGCGUGGGAAUCUACCCAGUUCUACGGAAUAACACAGGGAAACUUGUGCUAAUACCGUAUACGCCCUACGGGGGAAAGAUUUAUCGGGAUUGGAUGAGCCCGCGUUGGAUUAGCUAGUUGGUGGGGUAAUGGCCUACCAAGGCGACGAUCCAUAGCUGGUCUGAGAGGAUGAUCAGCCACACUGGGACUGAGACACGGCCCAGACUCCUACGGGAGGCAGCAGUGGGGAAUAUUGGACAAUGGGCGCAAGCCUGAUCCAGCCAUGCCGCGUGAGUGAUGAAGGCCUUAGGGUGUAAAGCUCUUUCAGUGGGAAGAUAAGUGACGGUACCACAGAAGAACGCCCCGGCUAACUUCGCGCCAGCAGCCGC